GAGACACUCUUUUGGAGCAGGAUGUGCUUCAGUAAGGCUUUGGCACUCACUGAGUCUGCCCCUUGAGUGUGUCGCU
This 76-nucleotide microRNA precursor is filed under the name Myotis davidii. Its description in RNAcentral is "mir-9229 microRNA precursor family". It matches the Rfam family "mir-9229 microRNA precursor family". Lineage: Eukaryota; Metazoa; Chordata; Mammalia; Chiroptera; Vespertilionidae. The record is from Rfam by way of RNAcentral.